Homo sapiens (human) is the source of this 887-nucleotide long non-coding RNA. RefSeq lists it as uncharacterized. The transcript is spliced from 4 exons. The record is from RefSeq and is a predicted model, not a curated record. Lineage: Eukaryota; Metazoa; Chordata; Mammalia; Primates; Hominidae.
CAGCAAAGCUGUACUUCCUGGCUGCUCUUGCAGUCAAGUGGCACAUGCAACUGAGUUCAGGCCGGGGGACUGUGAGCGAUGUACUCCACUUCCAGGCUUGGGCUAAUUACCUCCUAUGUGCGGUCCUAGCUCCUUGUUCUUCUUCCACAGCGGAUGUGCAUGAGCACAGGACUUGGAUGCUACUUACUGAAGGUAGUAAAGCCAGAAGAUGACAGAUACCUGGGUCUCUCAGUCUCUCUACACGGCUCACUCAUUUUGGACUUUUCAUGAGCAAAAAGUAAACUUUUAUCAUACACUUUUUCUGCAGUGUCAACAUCAUCUUCAUCAUUACUAUUACUACAAUCACCUUGAUUCAGAACCCAUCAGUCAAUGAAUGAACAACUGGAGCCUCACUAUUGGUGUGAAUAAUUUCUUUGAUAUCCACUUCUUCCAGCUUGCUGAUAGACUCUGAAGUAUCCUCAGCUCUUGGCCCAGUGAGUCUUCUGUGCAUGCUGCUGGGGGAAAUCAGCCAGAACUGCUCUGCUGGACAAGAUUCUCAGAAUAGAGGCUGCUAACAAGCCCAGAUGGCAGUUGCAGCCAUCUUGUGACUAGAAGAAGAGGAAGCUCCAUACUCAGGGGCUCCAGAACACUAGAGUCACAGUCCUGAGACACAUACCUGGAGGCUGCCCUGCGUGUGGACUUCGGUAUGUUUAAUAAUAAAUUUCUUAAUAUUUUAAGCCAGUUUUAACUGUGUGUCUUACACUUAAAGCCAAAUGUGCUCUAACUGUAAAAAGUAAGAUGGGGGAAUACUAAUUCUCAUUAUAAUCUUCUCCAACCAACUUUUAAAAAAUAAAUUCUACUGUAUAUAUUUGAGGUAUACAACACAAUGUUAUGAGAUAGUAAAACGA